GGGCAGGUUGUGCGCUCGCUCGUGUAUGCAGCGCGAGGAGCCAGGCAAGUCUUCCUCCACGCGCUGCAAUGACAAGCUCGAGCAGCUCACACAGUGACAGCGAGAACGGAUAUCUUUCUCAAGAUUCUGCUCUUGUGAAACAGGCCCACAGACGAACUUUUCUCCACACGGACCCAAAAGAUCAUCUGUGAACACCCGCGGAACAAACGUGCUCCUUUAUAGGCUUAUGCAGAUCAUCUGUGGUGGUUUAUGACAAUGUGUUUUUUUUUGGUAAAGACUUAAAAAGAAUAAAUUACUCGCGAUCUCUCUUUGUAUUAGCCUAUGAAAUGUAACUGACGAGAACUAAAGGAUCUCUAUAUAUUUGCAUUUGCCUCACAACUGGUUCGAGGAUCCCAGGAAUCGUCAUGUGUUCUAAUAGAACAGCAGGGUAUUUAAAUUGCACUGCAGCAGGUUAAAGAAAUAGAAAACUAAAUAUGAUUUACGAUCAUCUAGUAGAAUGUUUAAAAGUAGGCUUUCAUUUAAGUAUAUUCUUCCAGAUGUUUAUAAGUAACCUGUAAUUUCAAAAGUUUAACAUAGGUUUAACAUAUGAACUAAUAGCCUAUGUGGUAAUUUUUCUCCAUGUUUUGAAAUGAAUAACAAUGCUGAAUAUGUGUUUCUAAGGAAGUAAACUGACAACCACGACACAGAACGGAUUACCUAAAUGCGCAUUAAUGCAAAAAUCAAUUCUUUAAAAAGGACAACUAUCGAUGUAGGCUCCACAGAUUCAGAAGUGCUCCAAAAGACACCAAAAUGUUAAUGUAAAUUUCAUUCAAAGAACUGGACAGUCAUCUAGCCUAAGAAACCCGCAGUUCCGUGUGAACAAUUCCAACAUUAGCCUAAUCUCUGUGAAGAAGAGCAUUUUUCUUGCAAUAAUUGAACGAAUAGAUCUAUAUUCGUUUGAUAAAGGACAUUGUGACUUCUGUAUUUCUAUAAAACAGCAACAUUUCUUUGAUACACAAGGACCAGUUUUAACCACUAGGCUAGCCUUUCAGAGGAUUAAAACAAUAGCAUGUUUUUAAGAGAAUGUUUUUCUUCUAACAAAAUGAUUGGCUUUUUUUUUUUUUUUUGGAAUCUGUUUAAAAAUUAAUAAGACUAUGUUCACUAUAAGUUAUAAUUUGACGUAGGCGAUUAAUAAGAAAUGAAUUGUAGCCGCUAUAAUAAACAGUCUGUCAACUUUAUCAGUGUUACAGGGAAUUGUAUUAAAGAUAACGCCAUUAAUAUAUAUAGCUAUAUAUACACACACACUACUUCGUUGUGCCUGUCUCUUAUUUGACGCGGAUUCAUGAAGAAAAUGUUAGCCACGUUUAAGCGAAGUAAACGUGUAGUAAAGUUGUGGAUGUGUGAUCUGAGCGCAAUCUAAAGAUAUAAAGCUUGUUUGUAUGCGUGUUCGUGGGAUAUUCGCCCAACUUUAUCUCCUCGGCGAUUCAGAGAGACUCAGCAUAACCGCAAUUAUUAUAAAACAGUGUCAAUACUCCUGGAUAAUGAGAUAUACUUCCCGCUCUCUCUGUGUUAUGUGAAAUCCGUGUGAUAUUCUACGCGGUUUUACGUUGUUAUAUUCGUUAUGAACACGGAAAUUACUUAAAGCAGAGGUAUCCAGAAUCAUUUACAUUCAGAGUCAAAUAUAAAAUAACAAAUAAUUUCUGGCAUUCCCGGACCAGCGUGAUUAUAUGUUUUGCAGCAUUAAAAAUAUCCCCAAAUCGAUUUAUAGUUGAUUUAUGGGAAGGGCAUUAAAACUUAUACAGACGUGACUUGAAAUGAAAAAGCAGAGAUGAAACAAAAGGUUAAUAGCUUUCUUUUUAACCGCUUGUUAAAAUGCAAGACAAUAAAAUGACAAAAAGCUUGAAACACU
This is a long non-coding RNA of Carassius auratus (goldfish), 1888 nucleotides long. RefSeq lists it as uncharacterized. NCBI's taxonomy places the organism in Eukaryota, Metazoa, Chordata, Actinopteri, Cypriniformes, Cyprinidae. The transcript is spliced from 2 exons. The record is from RefSeq and is a predicted model, not a curated record.